This 1072-nucleotide unclassified non-coding RNA is filed under the name Hevea brasiliensis (rubber tree). The record is from RNAcentral. Lineage: Eukaryota; Viridiplantae; Streptophyta; Magnoliopsida; Malpighiales; Euphorbiaceae.
CCUGCUUCUGCGCCUAACUGCAGAAUACACCGUUUUCGGCAGGAGAGCAAUUCCCCCUACAAACAAAGUCAUCAUGCCUGCACUUGUUGUAACUGAAGAAACAAUGGCCUCCGAGCUAUCCAAGAAAAAAAUGAAGAAGACACCCAAAACUGAUAUUGAAACUCCUACUGAUAAGAAAACCAAAGAGAAAAAGUCAAAAAAAUCCAAGAUUGAGUCUGGGUCUGAUUCAGAGGACGCUAAAAGGAGUAAAAAGAAAGAGAAAAAGAGAAAAGCUUUGGACUUGGAUGGUGAGAAGAGUGAUACGAGCUCAGAGAUAUGCGAGCCCGUAGAUUUGAAGAAGAAUAAAAAGGCUAAAUUCGACGACGAACAAGUGAUGGUUGAGAAGAAAGUCGAGGAUCCUAAUGCUUUGUCUAAUUUUAGGAUUUCAAAGCCUUUAAAAGAGGCUUUGAAUUCUAAGGGAAUAGAAGCACUUUUUCCUAUUCAAGCUAUGACUUUUGAUGAUAUUCUUGAUGGAUGUGAUUUGGUUGGUCGAGCUCGUACUGGGCAGGGUAAAACGCUGGCCUUUGUUUUACCCAUAUUGGAGUCCCUAACGAAUGGUCCUACUAAAGCAUUACGAAAAACAGGGUAUGGGAAGGCUCCUAGUGUUCUGGUGCUUUUACCUACUAGGGAAUUGGCACUUCAGGUGUUUGCUGACUUUGAAGUCUAUGGCCGGGCUGUUGGGCUCACUUCAUGCUGUUUGUAUGGAAAUUCUCCUAUGGGGGCACAACAGGCUCAACUAAAAAGAGGAGUUGACAUUGUAGUGGGUACUCCUGGAAGGGUUAAGGACCACAUUGAAAGGGGAAAUAUUGAUUUCGGGUCUUUGAAGUUCCGUGUUCUUGAUGAAGUCGAUGAAAUGUUAAAAAUUGGUUUUGUAGAUGAUGUCGAAUUUAUUUUAGGCAAGGUCGAAGAUGCAAGCCUAGUUCAAACAGUUCUUUUCAGUGCCACUUUGCCAGUCUGGGUGAAGCAUAUUGCUUCUAAGUUUCUGAAACCAGAUAAGAAAACGGCUGACCUUGUUGGUAAUGAGAAAAUGAAG